ACGCUCGACACCUACGGGAGGCAGCAGUCGGGAAUAUUGCGCAAUGGAGGAAACUCUGACGCAGUGACGCCGCGUAUAGGAAGAAGGUUUUCGGAUUGUAAACUAUUGUCGUUAGGGAAGAAAAAAGACAGUACCUAAGGAGGAAGCUCCGGCUAACUACGUGCCAGCAGCCACGGUAAUCUGAGCGGGCUGGCAAGGC
This 199-nucleotide ribosomal RNA is filed under the name uncultured bacterium. RNAcentral's name for it is "partial 16S ribosomal RNA". It matches the Rfam family "Bacterial small subunit ribosomal RNA", at positions 328 to 539 of the family's 1533-position model. The record is from RNAcentral.